RNAcentral lists this transfer RNA (16 nucleotides) under Atherinella brasiliensis (Brazilian silversides). RNAcentral describes it as "partial tRNA-Thr". The record is from RNAcentral. Lineage: Eukaryota; Metazoa; Chordata; Actinopteri; Atheriniformes; Atherinopsidae.
AGUCCCUCCCAGUGCU